RNAcentral lists this ribosomal RNA (305 nucleotides) under uncultured bacterium. RNAcentral describes it as "bacterial SSU rRNA". It matches the Rfam family "Bacterial small subunit ribosomal RNA", at positions 338 to 661 of the family's 1533-position model. The record is from RNAcentral.
CCUACGGGGGGCAGCAGUGGGGAAUAUUGCACAAUGGGCGAAAGCCUGAUGCAGCAACGCCGCGUGAGCGAUGAAGGCCUUCGGGUCGUAAAGCUCUGUCCUCAAGGAAGAUAAUGACGGUACUUGAGGAGGAAGCCCCGGCUAACUACGUGCCAGCAGCCGCGGUAAUACGUAGGGGGCUAGCGUUAUCCGGAAUUACUGGGCGUAAAGGGUGCGUAGGUGGUUUCUUAAGUCAGAGGUGAAAGGCUACGGCUCAACCGUAGUAAGCCUUUGAAACUGGGGAACUUGAGUGCAGGAGAGGAGAG